Molecule: long non-coding RNA, 2443 nt
Organism: Pleuronectes platessa (European plaice)
Lineage: Eukaryota; Metazoa; Chordata; Actinopteri; Pleuronectiformes; Pleuronectidae
Exons: 2
Source: RefSeq, a predicted model, not a curated record
AGCCCCUCCUUCUUGGCUUUGGAAUAAGGAAGUGACAAGUCUCAAAAUGUUCAUCUCUUGACCAGCCUUGACACAGCUGAUGGCAUGUGGGCCAACGGUGUUGACAAUUGGAGAGAAGAUUAUUGUGUUUUUGCUAUAUCAAAACAAUGUUCUGUUUGUACAGACAUUCAAAACAAUUUAACCAAAACAACGAAACAGCAUUGUGACGCAGACACAUUCAAAUUUUCAAGAUUAAACACUUGGAAGGAAAGGGUUAUUAUUAAUCGCUGGCGUGAAGGCCUUAUCUGGCUCAAACUACUUCUAUCUUUAUUCAUUUAGAGUUGAGUUAGACACAGACUAUAGCUAAAAUAUUGAAAUCCUAACACAUUACAUUUCAUUUAGCUGACGCUUUUAUCCAAAGCAGUGUACAUUAAGUGUAUUCAACCAUGAGGGUACAAACCCAGAACAACAAGAAUCAGAAAGUAAAAUACAACAUUAUGGCUCAUAAUCAAAACCUCUAUUCACAGAAUGAAUUGAAUGGAUUUAUACUUCCGGAACCACGCUGUUGAGCUCUAUUGGGUUGGUCUUUAUCACGCAGACCUGGCAACCCGGGGACCAACCCGGAAGCAGCUGCAGCGGCUCAGGGAGACGGGGCGACUUCAGUCCGUCACUGAAACAUGAUGGCUGCUUCAGAUGGGAAAGUUAGGAGCUCGUGUUUCGGGUGUUGGGGAGUCUGUGCGGAUAUUGUGAGGAGAAGCUAAUGCCUCUGAUCUGCAGCUCAGUCCCCCCGUCUGCUACACCAUGCCACUGGUCUUGGAUGCCGUGUGGGCGCUGUGGAGCAUUGGAGCUGGUAUCUAUGACUACUUCCAUACCAGCGCCAUGGAGGAGAGGAUCCACACGCUGGAGAACCUCCUCUCUAUCCACCAGUGUGUGAUCACAGCCCUGUCUGCAGGCUUCAUCCUGCUCAUGAUGUACAUACUGUGGAGAAAACACUAAAACCUCACCGACCUGGGCAACUGCUGCCACUAAAUGUUGUUUUGCCGCAGGACAUCUUUUUUCACCUAGGCUAAUUUCCUUCCAGGUGUUGGCACAGGGACAUUCUGAUUCAUACAGCUGUUCACACUUGAGGAUGACACAUGUUCAAUGAAGGUGACCAAGGUGAGGUCAGGAGCACUGAAGAGCAACUAAACCGAGGACUAUGGCUCCAUAAGGACAUCUUUACCCUGAAAACUUGUCGUUAGUUGAGCUGCGUCGGUCUGUCUGUCUUUUUUUGAAUGUUACACUUGCCUGAGUCAUCUACAGACCAGUGUCCACAUUAACUCGAAAUCACAGCUGCUUCUCAAGGCAACUUUAGCACUUUGACUUUUUUUUGCCGAGCUUGAAAGAAUUCAAUGUCCAGAGAUUUUACAACCUUUGAUUUGUUACAGAAGCAAAGUGUGACUAGUUGCCACUAAGUUGUCUAACCCUGUUAUCACAAAGUGGUUACUUUGUUUUCAAAGAUCAGUCAUGAUGUUUUUUUUUUACAUAUCAGCUCUUUUUUUUUGGUCUGAGUUGAUGUAAUUAUUUCACCAUCUUGAAGUCGUCAUUACAACUUUAUUAUUUCUGUCCAGUCUCCUCUGUUAUCUCUGCUUUGUUCUCUCCUCAGAUCUCCCAAAGUUGAGACGAAUAAUAAUAAUGAAAUCAACUUUGGAUGAACCGUAAAGUAGAUAAGUCUGUUAUCUGGAGCUAUUGAUGCAUUAAAGUUCACUGAGCAGUGUCUAAAGAAAAUAACCUCUCAGUGGAAUAUGUAUAGCUGCUUUCAGACAUAUACUGAAGAGAUUCAAGAGAUUUUGAUGAUAUAAGGGCUGACACGAGUUCCUGUUCUUUCCACAGUAGGAAUUAUAUUUUUUUUCAUAUGUGAAAGACAAACUCCAGAAAAUGUCCCAACCCAAGUUUCUGGACAUUCUCCAGAGUUUGUGUCUGACAAAAGCUUAUGUCCGGCAGAUGGUAAGCAGAUCGAGGAGAAUAUGUCGCGGCUGUUAAACUCUGGGUGUUUUACGGUUUUAACUACAGUAGAAUAAGAGAAGAUAAACACUAAAUUCCAACACUGGGAAACGAAUUAAUCUGUUGUGGUUCUUUUUCUUAUGCUGUCUAAUGGGUUUUGGAACUGCAGCUUGUGUGUGUGUGUUUGCGUGUAUUUUUAUCAACCAUGUUUCCAGGAUAUGUCAUUCAGGAAUCCUCUUGUUUUUCACACUGUUAAAAAAUGUGAUCAGAUGAUUUAAUCAGAUGUAUUGAUCACCUGCUAACUCUCUGUACUGCAUCUACUACUGGACAGACCUCUGCCAUGGCUUCUACUAAAGGGAAUAUGUUUGGAUAAUAAGCCAGAACUUUGCUUUUGCCCACUUGUUUGUAUUAAUUAAAUUUUUCUUUCCUGUCAUGUUAACUGCGUGGUUUUAAAUGGAAUAAAUUAAAUUAUGUUAAAUAA